Molecule: ribosomal RNA, 253 nt
Filed under: uncultured bacterium
Lineage: Bacteria
Description: partial 16S ribosomal RNA
Rfam family: Bacterial small subunit ribosomal RNA
Source: RNAcentral
UACGUAGGGGGCAAGCGUUAUCCGGAAUCACUGGGCGUAAAGCGUGCGUAGGUGGUUGUUUAAGUGCGAUGUUAAAUCGUGGGGCUCAACCCUGUCGUUGCAUCGCAUACUGGGCAUCUAGAGGACGGCAGAGGCAAGUGGAAUUGGUAGUGUAGCAGUGAAAUGCGUAGAUAUUACCAGGAACACCAAUGGCGAAGGCAGCUUGCUGGGCCACUCCUGACACUGAGGUACGAAAGCGUGGGGAGCGAACAGG